Molecule: transfer RNA, 67 nt
Filed under: Phrynocephalus maculatus (blacktail toadhead agama)
Lineage: Eukaryota; Metazoa; Chordata; Lepidosauria; Squamata; Agamidae
Description: tRNA-Tyr
Source: RNAcentral
GUAAGAUGGCUGAAUUAAGGCGGUGGUUUGUAAUUCCAUUUAUGGGGCGGCAAAGCCUCUCUUAUCA